GAUGAACGCUGGCGGCGUGCCUAAUACAUGCAAGUCGAGCGAACGGACGAGAAGCUUGCUUCUCUGAUGUUAGCGGCGGACGGGUGAGUAACACGUGGAUAACCUACCUAUAAGACUGGGAUAACUUCGGGAAACCGGAGCUAAUACCGGAUAAUAUUUUGAACCGCAUGGUUCAAAAGUGAAAGACGGUCCUGCUGUCACUUAUAGAUGGAUCCGCGCUGCAUUAGCUAGUUGGUAAGGUAACGGCUUACCAAGGCAACGAUGCAUAGCCGACCUGAGAGGGUGAUCGGCCACACUGGAACUGGGACACGGUCCAGACUCCUACGGGAGGCAGCAGUAGGGAAUCUUCCGCAAUGGGCGAAAGCCUGACGGAGCAACGCCGCGUGAGUGAUGAAGGUCUUCGGAUCGUAAAACUCUGUUAUUAGGGAAGAACAUAUGUGUAAGUAACUGUGCACAUCUUGACGGUACCUAAUCAGAAAGCCACGGCUAACUACGUG
RNAcentral lists this ribosomal RNA (497 nucleotides) under uncultured bacterium. RNAcentral's name for it is "partial 16S ribosomal RNA". It matches the Rfam family "Bacterial small subunit ribosomal RNA", at positions 28 to 507 of the family's 1533-position model. The record is from RNAcentral.